This 330-nucleotide ribosomal RNA is filed under the name Klebsiella ornithinolytica. Its description in RNAcentral is "bacterial SSU rRNA". It matches the Rfam family "Bacterial small subunit ribosomal RNA", at positions 256 to 578 of the family's 1533-position model. The record is from RNAcentral. Lineage: Bacteria; Pseudomonadati; Pseudomonadota; Gammaproteobacteria; Enterobacterales; Enterobacteriaceae.
GGUAAUGGCUCACCUAGGCGACGAUCCCUAGCUGGUCUGAGAGGAUGACCAGCCACACUGGAACUGAGACACGGUCCAGACUCCUACGGGAGGCAGCAGUGGGGAAUAUUGCACAAUGGGCGCAAGCCUGAUGCAGCCAUGCCGCGUGUAUGAAGAAGGCCUUCGGGUUGUAAAGUACUUUCAGCGAGGAGGAAGGCGUUAAGGUUAAUAACCUUGGCGAUUGACGUUACUCGCAGAAGAAGCACCGGCUAACUCCGUGCCAGCAGCCGCGGUAAUACGGAGGGUGCAAGCGUUAAUCGGAAUUACUGGGCGUAAAGCGCACGCAGGCGG